AUGAACGCUGGCGGCGUGCCUAAUACAUGCCAGUUGAGCGAACGGACGAGAAGCUUGCUUUUCUGAUGUUAGCGGCGGACGGGUGAGUAACACGUGGAUAACCUACCUAUAAGACUGGGAUAACUUCGGGAAACCGGAGCUAAUACCGGAUAAUAUUUUGAACCGCAUGGUUCAAAAGUGAAAGACGGUCUUGCUGUCACUUAUAGAUGGAUCCGCGCUGCAUUAGCUAGUUGGUAAGGUAACGGCUUACCAAGGCAACGAUGCAUAGCCGACCUGAGAGGGUGAUCGGCCACACUGGAACUGAGACACGGUCCAGACUCCUACGGGAGGCAGCAGUAGGGAAUCUUCCGCAAUGGGCGAAAGCCUGACGGAGCAACGCCGCGUGAGUGAUGAAGGUCUUCGGAUCGUAAAACUCUGUUAUUAGGGAAGAACAUAUGUGUAAGUAACUGUGCACAUCUUGACGGUACCUAAUCAGAAAGCCACGGCUAACUACGUG
Molecule: ribosomal RNA, 496 nt
Filed under: uncultured bacterium
Lineage: Bacteria
Description: partial 16S ribosomal RNA
Rfam family: Bacterial small subunit ribosomal RNA
Source: RNAcentral